Molecule: transfer RNA, 65 nt
Filed under: Dermatobia hominis (human botfly)
Lineage: Eukaryota; Metazoa; Arthropoda; Insecta; Diptera; Oestridae
Description: tRNA-Tyr
Rfam family: tRNA
About the family: Transfer RNA (tRNA) molecules are approximately 80 nucleotides in length. Their secondary structure includes four short double-helical elements and three loops (D, anti-codon, and T loops).
Source: RNAcentral
GAUUAAAUGGCUGAAGAUAGGCGAUAGAUUGUAAAUCUAUAUAUGAAGUAUUACUUCUUUAAUCA